Molecule: ribosomal RNA, 1470 nt
Filed under: metagenome
Description: bacterial SSU rRNA
Rfam family: Bacterial small subunit ribosomal RNA
Source: RNAcentral
AGAGUUUGAUCAUGGCUCAGGAUGAACGCUAGCGGCAGGCUUAACACAUGCAAGUCGAGGGGUAUAAGUCUUCGGAUUUAGAGACCGGCGCACGGGUGCGUAACGCGUAUGCAAUCUACCUUUCACAGCGGGAUAGCCCAGAGAAAUUUGGAUUAAUACCUCAUAGCAUAGCAGCUUCGCAUGAAGCCGCUAUUAAAGUCACAACGGUGAAAGAUGAGCAUGCGUCCCAUUAGCUAGUUGGUAAGGUAACGGCUUACCAAGGCUACGAUGGGUAGGGGUCCUGAGAGGGAGAUCCCCCACACUGGUACUGAGACACGGACCAGACUCCUACGGGAGGCAGCAGUGAGGAAUAUUGGACAAUGGGCGCAAGCCUGAUCCAGCCAUGCCGCGUGCAGGAUGACGGUCCUAUGGAUUGUAAACUGCUUUUAUACGAGAAGAAACACUCCAACGUGUUGGAGCUUGACGGUAUCGUAAGAAUAAGGAUCGGCUAACUCCGUGCCAGCAGCCGCGGUAAUACGGAGGAUCCAAGCGUUAUCCGGAAUCAUUGGGUUUAAAGGGUCCGUAGGCGGUUUAAUAAGUCAGUGGUGAAAGCCCAUCGCUCAACGGUGGAACGGCCAUUGAUACUGUUAAACUUGAAUUAUUAGGAAGUAACUAGAAUAUGUAGUGUAGCGGUGAAAUGCUUAGAGAUUACAUGGAAUACCAAUUGCGAAGGCAGGUUACUACUAAUUGAUUGACGCUGAUGGACGAAAGCGUGGGUAGCGAACAGGAUUAGAUACCCUGGUAGUCCUCGCCGUAAACGAUGGAUACUAGCUGUUGGGAGCAAUCUCAGUGGCUAGCGAAAGUGAUAAGUAUCCCACCUGGGGAGUACGUUCGCAAGAAUGAAACUCAAAGGAAUUGACGGGGGCCCGCACAAGCGGUGGAGCAUGUGGUUUAAUUCGAUGAUACGCGAGGAACCUUACCAAGGCUUAAAUGUAGAUUGACCGAUUUGGAAACAGAUCUUUCGCAAGACAAUUUACAAGGUGCUGCAUGGUUGUCGUCAGCUCGUGCCGUGAGGUGUCAGGUUAAGUCCUAUAACGAGCGCAACCCCUGUUGUUAGUUGCCAGCGAGUCAUGUCGGGAACUCUAACAAGACUGCCAGUGCAAACUGUGAGGAAGGUGGGGAUGACGUCAAAUCAUCACGGCCCUUACGCCUUGGGCUACACACGUGCUACAAUGGCCGGUACAGAGAGCAGCCACUGGGCGACCAGGAGCGAAUCUAUAAAACCGGUCACAGUUCGGAUCGGAGUCUGCAACUCGACUCCGUGAAGCUGGAAUCGCUAGUAAUCGGAUAUCAGCCAUGAUCCGGUGAAUACGUUCCCGGGCCUUGUACACACCGCCCGUCAAGCCAUGGAAGCUGGGGGUGCCUGAAGUCGGUGACCGCAAGGAGCUGCCUAGGGUAAAACUGGUAACUAGGGCUAGUCGUAACAAGGUA